RNAcentral lists this transfer RNA (76 nucleotides) under Gammaproteobacteria bacterium LSUCC0112. RNAcentral describes it as "tRNA-Glu". It matches the Rfam family "tRNA". From Rfam's summary of the family: Transfer RNA (tRNA) molecules are approximately 80 nucleotides in length. RNAcentral also lists the same sequence under 5 other names. Lineage: Bacteria; Pseudomonadati; Pseudomonadota; Gammaproteobacteria. The record is from RNAcentral.
GUCCCCUUCGUCUAGAGGCCUAGGACACCGGGUUUUCAUCCCGGCAACGGGGGUUCGAAACCCCCAGGGGACGCCA